AGUGAACGCUGGCGGUAGGCCUAACACAUGCAAGUCGAACGGCAGCACAGUAAGAGCUUGCUCUUACGGGUGGCGAGUGGCGGACGGGUGAGGAAUACAUCGGAAUCUACUUUUUCGUGGGGGAUAACGUAGGGAAACUUACGCUAAUACCGCAUACGACCUACGGGUGAAAGCAGGGGAUCUUCGGACCUUGCGCGAUCGAAUGAGCCGAUGUCGGAUUAGCUAGUUGGCGGGGUAAAGGCCCACCAAGGCGACGGUCCGUAGCUGGUCUGAGAGGAUGAUCAGCCACACUGGAACUGAGACACGGUCCAGACUCCUACGGGAGGCAGCAGUGGGGAAUAUUGGACAAUGGGCGCAAGCCUGAUCCAGCCAUACCGCGUGGGUGAAGAAGGCCUUCGGGUUGUAAAGCCCUUUUGUUGGGAAAGAAAAGCAGCAGGUUAAUACCCCGCUGUUCUGACGGUACCCAAAGAAUAAGCACCGGCUAACUUCGUG
RNAcentral lists this ribosomal RNA (492 nucleotides) under uncultured bacterium. RNAcentral's name for it is "partial 16S ribosomal RNA". It matches the Rfam family "Bacterial small subunit ribosomal RNA", at positions 29 to 507 of the family's 1533-position model. The record is from RNAcentral.